CCCAUUCUUUUCCAAAUUCCCUUACAUUUUCCUAUGCCCAAUUCUUUCCUCCAAAUCCCUGCAGGCUGCAGCCCAUUCCAAUACAAUUCCCAGGCCACUAUUUUCCAACUGCACACCUUAUCCCUCGAGAGAAUUUUGAAUUCAAAUUCAUCCCAAAAUCCAUUCCCUAGAAAUCUCCUAUAAAUACUUAUCUUUUCCAUUCAUUGGUGGGAGGGAGGGGGUUAGAGAAAAAUUUUGGGGAAGAAAAUAGAGGUCGAAAGAAAAGGUUUGACCAACAAGAAUAUACAUAGAGAGCAUACAAAUAUAUACGAAUAUGGAGUGGUGAUGCAGAAGGACACACUAGAUAUAGAAGCCAAAAUUAAUUUGAACAAGGGAAGAUCGAGUACUCAACCAUAUAUUCUUAAGUCUAGAUUUUAGUCUCUUCCAUUCUUCACUGGAAUCGGUUCAAGGGUGGUGGUGGAAUCCUGUUCAAGCUUCGUUCGUCCCGGGAUGCUGCUCCAAAGAAGGUAACCUCUUCCCCCUUAAAUUUGUUUUUUCCAUUUCGGCUAAAUUUAUAUGUAUGCAAUGUGGAUUUAAUUCAUUUUGUGGUUUGAUUUGAUGAUUCCAAUCUAUAAUAUGCUCUUCUUGAUAAAAGAUAUGGUUGUGUAUUGAUUUGAAGUGGUAAAAUAGUAGGCAGAAUCUCGAAAUGCAACUGGGUAUGGAAUAUGACCACUUGUUUUCUCCAUUUCAAAUCUCAUGGUUAUUUGUUGAUCAUCGAAAUAUUCCUGUCUCUUUAUUAGUUUUCUUGUUUUGAUUGUGUGUUCUAAAGGCGUCAAAGAAAUUAUUAUGUCGUUUAUCUUCUUUGCAUUUUCGGGUAUAAAUUAGCAAGUUCUGCUCACAUCAAUAGAGCUUCGUUUGUUAUUGUCAUCUUGUAGUGCAAGUAUUUCUCUCUUCCAUAUAGAACCCUCUGCUAUGUUUUUCCUACAGCUGCUGCCUCUUUGAUUUGUCUCUUGCUAGCAUGUUCAUCUAUAUUUUAUUUCAGGCAUAAUACAUAUAUUAGAUCCUACACUUGACUUCAAACUCCAACUUUCAUAAUGCACAAACAAACACUUUAACUAUCCAACUUUGAAAUAAAUAAACACAUGAGUCCUACAUGACAAAAUACACGUAGAACACCACGUAAGACAAAAAAUGACAUGUAGGACAUGAGUGUCUAUUUGUUCAAUUUUAUAUAAGUUUAAGUGUCUACUUGUGCCCACCCAAAGUUGAAGGGUAUAAAUGUGAUUUGAAGUCAAGUUAAAAGACAUAUUUAUGUAUUAUGCCUUUAUUUUAUGUUGUUUUUUUUUUUUAAAAAAAAUACUUUUCCUUUAGAAGUGGAUGUGUUGUUUAACUAUGGUUCAAGCGUUGAGUCAACUUAGUGCAACAUGCCUAAAACGAGUUAUUAUUGCUUCUUUGGUUAUGGGCUCUGCAAAGGACAUCUAAUCGUGUUUCUUUUCUCGUUCCCCUCGUUUUAUUAUUGCGUGGUACGCUAAGAUAUUUCCUUUUAGUAUUAGUUGAGUUUGGGUUAGUUCAUGAAUUAGUUUUGAUGUACCAAUUGGGCAUAUCUUGAAUUUCGACUAUUGGGUAGCCGUAUUUUGAGCUUGAAGUAGCACAUAUAUUUGUGUUCUCUUAUUUCUUCAUUUUGUUUAUUGUGGUGCCACAAUUCUAAUUUUUUUUUUAUUCUUAUUUAUGUGAAAUUUGUCCGAGUUCGCCAUGAACUCCUCGCCUUGCAUUUUCUUGUUGAGCCACGAAGGCUUAAACCAUUAUUCUCGAGUCAUCCAGACCUCCUCAAACCUGAUGAACAGGUCGAAAGCAGCAAAUAGGUUGCUGGAAAUUUACAUUGCAGGUCUCCAAAGGCUUAGAAAAAGACUAAUAUACUGUUGUAUACACUGAUAUACAGUGUUAAUAUACGAUUUAAGGUUCGAAAAAAUUACACAGGUGCUUUAAAUUUUAUCUGGGGCAGCAUACAUUCCGUAUAUAUCCCAAUAUACACGAAAACGAAUUGUAUACAAGCUGUAUACAUCGGUAUACAUCAAAACGUAUACUAGUUUUUCAAGAGAGAAAAUGGGCCAAUUUUGCGUAUCGUUGGGAAAUUGGGCCUAGAGGUCCAAUUUUGCUGAAUUUGGGCAAAGAGCCCAAGUUCAAAUUUUCUCCUUUCUCUUCUUUAUAAUAGUAUUAACUUACAUUUCAUUUGUUAAAUUUUGGUUUGACUCAAUUAAUUUCCCCAAUGUUAGUCCUUUCUCUUUUUAUAUUUAAAUAAAAAUUAUUUAUUUUUAUAUUCUAUAUUUAGAUUAUUUUCACUAUUAGACCCUUUUAGAAGAUUCCUUCUAAAUUCAUUUCCCUUUAAAUUAGUCAAUUAAAAUAGAAUUGUAAUAUUAGUAAAUAAAUAUAAAAAAGAAUUUGAUUUUACUUUAUUUAGACAAUAUCUAAAAAAUAGAUUAUUUUUAAAAGUCAUUUUUAGUCAAAUCGCCGGUCAACCGCAAGUUAGCGAACACUCUGAGGGCCUAAUACCUUCUCGGAAUGUACAUUUGAACUUCGAACCCUUUUUCAACUGAUUUUUAUUAGUUUUAAAUCUUUUGAAAAAAUAAUUUUAAGUUUUCUUGGUUUUACUAAAAAAUCAAGUGGCGACUCUAUAAUUUUGAAAGUCAAUUUCUCUUAAAUCAUAAGAUAAGUCAAUUUUUCGAAACUUAGUCCUUUUUUACUUAAAUAUUUUCGUAAUACAGAGGGCAUCAACAAGGUGGGCGGGGAGGUAAUCAAUGAGGCUGUGGAGGUAGAAUAAAUGGUAAUGCAGGCAUGGAAGUGGUUCAUCAAGAUGAUACGGCUUAAUGUUAUGCUUUUGCGGCAAGAAUGAGGUAGAUGUGUCUGAUGCAGUGAUCUCAUGUACUGUUCUUACUUAUGACCGGAUGACUAAUGUGUUAUUUGACUAGGAUUUUACGUAUUCAUAUAUAUAUCCAUGCAAUUUGCCUCAUAAUUUGUUAUGAUUUAUGAUGUACUUGAUGCCCCUAUCCAUGUUUCUACCCAGUUGGAGAGUAAGUCAUAGUCACCAUGUUUAUCGUGCUUGUCUUAUUUUGUUUACGGUUUUCAAACUUGGGCUGAUUUGGUGAUUCUGGAUUAGAAUGACUUUGAUAUUAUCUUAGGAAUGCCUUGGUUGUCCCCCUAUUAUGUUGUGUUAAAUUGUAAUACUAAGUUUGUUACUCUCGAAAUUUAGGCAAGGGAAAAGUUAGAGUGGGAAGGGGUGUAAAAGCCUAAGCAAACUAAGUUCAUAUCCUUCAUUCGGGCUAGGAAACUAGUAAGGUAGCGUUGUUCAGCUUAUUUGGCUCAUAUUUGGGAUAUGAGGUUGAGACUCUAUUUAUUGAGUCUAUUCUUGUGGUGUCAGAAUUUAGAGAAGUAUUCCCUACCUAUUAGCUUAGUAUGCCUCCAGAUAAAAAUAUAGGUUUCUACAUUGAUUUGGAGUCUAGUACUCGUCCCAUUUCUAUCCCUCCAUAUCGCAUGACUCUAGCAGAAUUAAGAGAGCUUAAACUCAAAUCCAAGAGCUUCUUGAUAAGGUAUUUAUUUGACCUGGUGCUUCCUAUAGGUGCCUCAUUUUUGUUUGUUAAUAAAAAGGAUGGUAGUAUGAGGAUGCGUAUAGAUUACCAACAAUUGAUUAGGGCCAUCAUUCGAAAUAAGUAUACCUUGUCUCAUAUAUAUAGUCCUUUCUGAACAAUUGCAAGGGUCAUUUGUUUUCUCCAAGAUUGAUCUAAGGUCUGGCUACCAUCAAUUAAAAAUUAGGCCUGAGGUUGUUCCCAAGACAACACUUAGAACCCUCUAUGGGCACUAAAAGUUUCUAGUUAUCUCCUUUGGCUUGACCAAUGUGCCUGCAACUUUUAUGAGUUUAAUGAAUUGGGUGUUGAAUCCAUUUCUUGAGUUCUUUCGUCAUAGUCAUUACUGAUGAUAUUUUGGUCUAUUCUAAAAGUGAGGAAGAACAUGUCGACCAUCUUCGUAUUGUUUUGGGUAAUCUUGGGAAACAAAGGUUGUAUGCUAAAUUUUCUAAGUGUUAAUUUUUGUUGACAUCUGUUGCAUUUUUGGGUCAUGAAGUUUCAAAAGAAAAGGUGAUCGUAGAUCCUCAAAAGAUUGAGGUAGUUAAGAAUUGAGUUCAUCCUAGCUUUGUAACGAAAGUUAGGAGUUUUGUGGGGCUCACUAGCUACUAUCAUCGAUUUGUGAAGAACUCUAUUCCAUUUGUACUCAUUUGAUAAAAAAGAGAUACCAUUGUAAUGGACUGAAAAAUGUGAGAAGAGUCUUCAAAAUCUCGAGACUCUCUUUGACCACCGCACAUAUUCUAGCAUUACUAGUGGGAAGGUAAAGAUUUUAUUGUUUAUUUUUAUCCUUCAUAUUCUGGUUUGGGUGUUGUGUUAAUGUAUGCUAAGAAUGUUAUAGCUUAUGUCUCUAGUCAAUUAAAGGUGCAUGAGAGGAAUUAUCUAACACAUGAUUUGGAGUUGGCAGCGGUAGUGUUUUCUCUUAAUAUCUAGCAACAUUACCUCUAUGGUUUCAAGUGUGAAUUGUUUAAUGAUCAUCGUAAUUUGCAUCAUGUGUUCACUCAAUGGAAGUAAACUUAAGACAACGAAGGUGGAUGGAGUUACUUAAAGAUUAUGAUGUCACCAUUCAAUAUCAUCAGGGUAAGGCUUAUGUUGUGGCUAAUGUUUUGAGUCGAAAAGCAGUUAGUAUGGGUAGUUUAGCUUACUUGAGUGUAUCCAAGCGACCUUCAGCUAAAGAAACUCAGACCUUGGAGUCUAAAUUCAUUCAAUUGGGCAUCUUAUAAAAAAUGUGGGUAUUAGAUUGCAUUAAAUUAAGGGUCAUAUUCAUCGAUGAAAUCAAGGACAAAAAAAUUAAAGAUGAAAAUUUAGAGGAGCUUAGAAAGAAGAAUGCGCUUGGUAAGGUGCAAGAUACCACUCUUGAUGCAGAAGGUGUAUUUAGUUUCAAGGGAAGAAUUUGUUUUCUUUGAGUUGAUGAUUUGAUUCAAAAGUUGUUAAUAGAGUCCCAUGAUUCGUGAUAUUAUAUUCAUCCAGGUGUGACAAAGAUGUAUCAAGAUUUGAAGCAAAUUUAUUUGUGAUCGAGCAUGAAGAAGGAUAUAGAGGAGUUUGUGGCUAAGUGUCAAAACUAUCAACAAGUGAAAUAUGAACACCAAAGACCUGCAGAUUUACUUCAAAGAAUGCCAAUUUCGGAAUGUAAGUCGGAAAAAAUAGACAUGGAUUUUGUGGUUGGCCUUCCCUAAACUUACGGAAAGCUUAAUUGUAUUUGGAUAAUAGUUAUUAGAUUGACUAGGUCAGCCCAUUUUAUUUCGGUAAGAAUAAAUUAUAAUGUUGAACAAUUGGCUUAAGUUUAUGUGAAAGAGGUGAGGUUGCAUGGGGUGGCCUCUCUAUCAUCUUAGAUCGUGGUACCCAAUUUACAUCUAUGUUUUGGAGGUAAUUGCAUGACGAAUUAGCUAUACAACUCACCUUUAGUACAACCUUCCAUACACCAAUAGACGGACAAUCAUAGAGGACUAUUCAAGUGUUAAAAAUGUUUAGGGCAUGUGAUUGAUUUUGGAGGGUAUUGGAAUAAGUUCCUACCUUGUGUAAGUUCUCUUAUAAUAAUAGUUAUCACUUCAACAUUGAUAUGGAACCAUUUGUGGGACUCUAUGUGAGGGGAUAUAGGUCAACCAUGGAAUGGUUUGAGGCUUGAGAUGUGGAACCUUUGGGUAGAUUUAGUGAAUGAUGUUUAAGAUAAGGUGAAGCAUUUAAGCUAAGCUUCUAGCAGCCCAGAGUAGACAAAAAAAGUAUGAAUAGACAUGACGUUUCAAACCGGUGAGGAUGUUGUUCUUAAGGAUCACUCAUGAAAUGGGUGAUAAAAUUUGGCAAGAAAGGCAAGUUAAGUCUGUGAUACAUUGGUCGCUUUAAAGUUCUUCAAUGUGUAAAGCCUAUGGCCUAUAGGUUGGCCUUACAUCCUGACGUAUUAGGAGUUCAUCUGCUGUUUAACGUAUCAAUGUUGAUACAGAGUAUAUCAUUAAGUGAGACUCAAUUGUGUUAGACAAAUACCCUAAUAUGAGCAGGACCCGAUUGUAAUUCUUGAUAAUGAUGUGCAUAGGUUGAGGACCAAGGAGUUAAGUCUGUGAAAUUUUAUUGGAAGCAUCAUCCAAUUGAGAAAACUACGUGGGAAACUGAGAGGGAUAUGCGAGAUAAGUAUCCUCAAUUCAGGUACUACUCCAUUUUUUCCUGAGCUUCUUUUUCCUAAGUUUAUAACUUGGGGACAAGUGAUGGGUAAAUUGGUAUCUAUUUCAACAAUCGAGUUCCGUCUUAUUAGAAAAUCUAAGGGAGAAAAUUUUUGGGUCUGAAAUCUUUUCAUAGUAUCUUGAAAUUUUCCAACCUAGUCCAAAUUUGGACGUAAUUGGAAUCGUUAAGGGCUAAGGAAAUCUGAUUACAAUCCGGUGAUUUAAUUAUGAUUUUGAUUACAUGAGGAUAUAAAUAACUCGUUAAGGAAUCCGUACAACUUUAUGGGAUUGGAGCGUAUUUUUUCGUGCAACCCGCUUUGGCAUUGGAUUUUGGUCUCUCUGGAGGGGAUGUUGUAGCGGGUGAGGGCCUCUUUGGCUGGCCAUACAUGACUUAAAGUCGUAAAUAAUGUCCUAAACAACCUUAUUCUGCACUUUUUGAUUUCUGGAGCUGAGGAUCGAACUCUAAGAGAAUCUUGACAAUUUUGCACCAUUCUUGAGGCUAAAGGUUAGUUUUUCACUACUUGAAUCCAUUUUUCGAUCCAUAGAACACAAUAGAAUGGGUAAUUAUCAAUGGGGGGGGGGGGGGUUUGAAUUGGAAAACAUGGUGGAAGAACCCUAGUUUGGAUACUUGGGAUCAUGGAUAUGAUGUAGGGUUGCUAGAAUUGUUAGUAAUACGAGUAAUUAGUGAUUAUUUAUUAAUUCCCGUAUUAUAUUGAUUAUUUGUAGACCAAGAACAAGUGGAACGAAUUUGAAAAUGAAAGGAUCAAGUUUCUUAAGUUUUCAAGCUUUGUUGAGGUUAGGUGAUGAUUAUGAUUGUAUGAUUGUGUGAUGUAUGUUUGUUUUUGCUUCAUUAUGAUACAUGUAUGUUAAUGUUGCAUUAUUGAUCACACUUGAAAUAGACAAAUUACUAUAUGCCAUGAAUCACUUCUUGAUUGUAUGAUUUGAGAAUAUACUUAUGAUUGUGAUUGUGGUGUGUUUAAGGGAUCGAUUCUCAUGUUUAGGAAUAGCUAACUAGGAUCGUUUGCCAUGUUUUGGUAUAGCUAACUAGAAUCGUUUGCCAUGAUUCGGUAUAUAUAUGAGAUUUGUUGCCACGUUCUAGCAUAAUUACUGGAUUGGGUACCAUGUUCCAAAAGUCUGACUGUUUGGGUUUGGGUUCCAUGAGAGGAUCAACUACCUGAUAUAUUUGUUAUAUUUGAGAAUUGUGAAAUGCUCUGUUGUUCGUAAAUGAUGAUGAUAUUGUAUUGAUAGCAAAAUGUAUUUGCCACGUUUUAGCUUAAGCUAAAGAUAACUUUAAAUUAAGUGAUUUUACUACUAUUAAAGAAUUGAGAAAAUUAGACUUAGAUUUUUUUGCAAUAACACAAAUUCUGAAGAAAAAAAAGUAUUUUUUAAACUAAAAAAAUUACACAUCGGCCAACUCCGUUAAUUAAACACGACACUUAUUUUCCUUUUAAUCCAUUGAAAAUAAAUCGAACUUCUUAUGCUACUUCAACUCUUUCUUUAUCUUUUAAUUAUAAUGAAGUACAUUUUUACAGCCAGUGAUGCAACUAAGACUUUUGUAAAUGAUAUUUAAGAUUUAAUAUAUGUAUGAACUAAUAUAAUUUGACUGAUGACAACCAAAUUUUUUGAUGAAACGACUAACCACCUUCGAGCCAUUAUGGCAUUACAUAUAAUUUAUGAUGAAACAAUUGAUGUAACUACCUGAUUUCUUUCACUAUGGAAAAGUCAAUGAAGAAAGAAUUGGGGUCAGAAAACUUUUUGGUAGUAACUUCGAAUUCUUAGCCUAGUCCAGAUUUGGAUGAAAUCGGAGUCAUUAAGGUGUAAGAAAAUAUAGUAAUGAAUGAGAGAUGUAAUUGUGAAGUUGAUUACAUGAGUGGAUAGGUAAUACGAUAAGAAAAAUGUAUGACUUUACGAAAUCAAAUUUGGGCGAGUAGAACUUCCGAAAAUGAUCUUAGCGUGAAGGGUAACAUUUUAUCUCUGUGUCGACCGCUGUAGCAGGAUUUUGGGGCCAUAGUAGGGCCAUUACAGUGGGAUGAGGCCAUUGUAGCGAUCCAUACACAACUUAAAGUUGCUAAUAAACCCCAAAAUGAUUUUAUUUGACACUUUUCAAUUUUUAGAGCUAAAAAGGCAACCUAGACGAGUUCUUGACAACUUUUCAUCAUUCUUAAGGCUAAAUGUAAGAUUUUAAAUCCCUGAAUCCAUUUUUUGAUCCGUGAAACCUAUUUUCUUGGGUUAUUAUCAAUGGUGAAGGGUUUUCAUUUAGAAAUUAUGGUAGAAAAAGCCGUAAUUUGGGUAGUAGGAUCUUGGGUUUGGUCUAGGGUUAUUGAGUUUGUUAUAAGCCAAAUAAUUAGAUCUUUGAUUGUUGAUCCUUGCGUAUAUUAAUUAUUGUAGACCUAGGAAAAGCGGAAAGAAUUCGAAAAGUAAAGAUUUAACUUCCUUAGGGGGCUCAAGCUUUGAUUCGAGGUAGGUGAUGAUUAUGAUUUCAUGUUGGUGUGAUAUGUAUUUGUAAUUGCUUCAUUAUAACGCAUGUAUGUAUGUGAAUGUUGCAUUAUUAAUCGUAAUAAGGAUAAUUGAAUAAUUGAAUAAUUGUAUGCUAUGAAUCACCUCUUGUUGUAUAAUCUUAAUGAUGUUCUUGUGUUUUUGAUUGUGGUGUGUGAUUGGGGAUUGGAUUGGCACAUUCCAGUAAGCUAAUUUGGAUCGUGUUGCCACAUUUCGGCACAACUAUUGGAUCGUGUUGCCACUCUCCGACACAACUAUUGGAUCAGGUUUUCACGUUCCAACACAAUUAUGGAAUGGAAUUACCACGUUCUGACAAACUAACCAUUUGAGUUUGGGUUCCAUGAGAGGACCAUUGAAUUGGUUAUGUAUCUACUUGUGAUGAUUACGUUCAUACGUAAUGAUUAUUGAUAUUGAAAGAUUAUUGAUAUUGAAAGACUAUUUAUUACUCUAAAAUGAUUUAGUUAUAUAUUGUCGAGAAUUAUGAAACAGUUUGUUGAUGUGUGUCACUCAUUCGGAUAGCCGCUUGAUCCUACUAGUACAUUAUGAUUGUGUAUUGACUCUACACUUGCUCUUAUUUUUUUUGAGUACAUGACAUCUUUGAGCGGCUAUUGACAGACCUUGUUUAGAAGAUCAGUGACCGUUUCAAAUUCAAGGGUGAGAUAGUUAUUCCGGGUUCCCUGAAUUCUCUUUUGCUUACGUCCACUCUCUUCGGACUCGGACUAUUCUUUAAGGUGUUGUUUAGUUUUGGGGUUGUACCUAUUGUUCUUAGACUUGUCGUUAGUAGAGUUUUGGUACAAUGACUUUCAAGGUCUAGGAAUUGUAUUUUAGCAUUCUAGUUAGGCUAUUUGUUUAGUUCCUUAAUAAAUAAUUUAGUUACUUAAACCUGCUUUUGUAUAUUUAAAUGUCUAGUUUUUUUCAUUAAGUUGCUUUGUUGGGUAGUAGUGAUGGUUCUCCACUGGAGGGUUAAGUUUGGGUGUCAAUCAUGAUGGUUGAAUCGUGAUAAACAAGUUAUAAAAGGAUUUCUUUCUUCUUUAA
Molecule: long non-coding RNA, 9772 nt
Filed under: Solanum lycopersicum (tomato)
Lineage: Eukaryota; Viridiplantae; Streptophyta; Magnoliopsida; Solanales; Solanaceae
Description: long non-coding RNA (SLYC_LNC000553)
Source: RNAcentral